Molecule: non-coding RNA, 161 nt
Filed under: Alphaproteobacteria bacterium
Lineage: Bacteria; Pseudomonadati; Pseudomonadota; Alphaproteobacteria
Description: 6S RNA
Rfam family: 6S / SsrS RNA
About the family: E. coli 6S RNA was the first non coding RNA to be sequenced, but its function was unknown until recently.
Source: RNAcentral
CGGCUGCUGCGCGGUUCGAUAAGGUCGCUGAAGUCCCCGGGCCCAAUGCUUAUCUCUAGGGAACUGCCUCUGUCGAGGUCGUGGCUUCGUUACGUGGUGCCCACCUGCGUUUGCAGGGCCAGAGAGGACGAGCAUAUGACCGACGGCCGAGGUGGCACCGC